UAACAUCUACUAUUUGUUAUAGAUAAAAAAGUGUCGUAUAGCAUCUUAACACAACAUAACCAAUGUUUCGCUUUGAUUGCUGCUCUUCUCAUAAUCUCUAAUCGCAAUUUUCUUUAGAUCGGCAACAAGUUUUCAUAUAAUCGGUAAGUUUGUUAUUUAAUCUACCAAAUCUAGCGCUGCUGCAAUUUUCCUCAAUUUCUCAUGAACCCUAAUUUGCAAGUUAGUGCAGAUCGCCAGCUUAGGGGGCAUGUAUACAACAUAAGUCCUCGAAGAGAGAGGCCUAGCCCUGACCCUGUGCGAGGCUCCAACCCGAGAGAUGUGCUUACUCCCGAGUAUGAUCAUGGUCGGAUCCCUAGCCCUCGAACAUAGAGGGUUAGUCCUGAUGAUUACCGUCGUGAAGCUAACCCAGAUUUAAAGCCUGAACAUCAGGACAGUCCCGGAUACAGUGGAGGAGAAAGCCCUAUACCUGACAGAUACCGGAGGUAUGUGUUGGCCUGAAGGUUUUUAAUGUUAGUUUAUAUAGUUUAUCUGAAUUUUUGUUUUAAUCUGUUAUCAAAUGUUGAUUUGAGUUUUGUGGAUAUGCAAUUUUAUAAUGUACAUUUUUUAAGUUUGUUACGAGUGUAAAGUGUUUGAAAAAAUACCCGACUGUGCAUUGGUUCAUUUAUCUAAUGCUAUACUGUCUAAAUUGAUCCUCUUGCACUGGGAAAUCAACUAAUUUAAUCGCGUUUGAGGUAAUUUUCUUGUCCAUAGCUUUUGUAAUAUAAAAUUUAGUAGUGUGGUAUGUUACAAUUGUGCAAUAAUUUGGAGGUUAUUUUGACUGUGAUAGGAUGAAUUAGAAAUAUGGUGAGCAUGCUAGAAGGCAGGACUGCUGUUCAGGAUUUGCUAUAUCGAACAAUAUCUUUUCUCAUUGGACAAUUCAGUUUGCUUUGAAAAAAUGACUUGCCUUGUUGCUUUGGCAAGACGAGUGUGCCUUGCAAUCACAUUUUCAAGCCCUUCCUCA
This 1000-nucleotide long non-coding RNA is filed under the name Panax ginseng (ginseng). Its description in RNAcentral is "long non-coding RNA (PGIN_LNC018395)". The record is from RNAcentral. Lineage: Eukaryota; Viridiplantae; Streptophyta; Magnoliopsida; Apiales; Araliaceae.